UACGAAGGGGGCUAGCGUUGUUCGGAAUUACUGGGCGUAAAGGGCGCGUAGGCGGUACUUCAAGUCAGGCGUGAAGGCCCCGGGCUCAACCUGGGAACCGCGCUUGAGACUGGAGAACUAGAGUUCGGGAGAGGAUGGUGGAAUUCCCAGUGUAGAGGUGAAAUUCGUAGAUAUUGGGAAGAACACCGAUGGCGAAGGCAGCCAUCUGGACCGACACUGACGCUGAGGCGCGAAAGCCAGGGGAGCAAACGGG
Molecule: ribosomal RNA, 253 nt
Filed under: uncultured bacterium
Lineage: Bacteria
Description: partial 16S ribosomal RNA
Rfam family: Bacterial small subunit ribosomal RNA
Source: RNAcentral